CUACGUGCCAGCAGCCGCGGUAAUACGGAGGAUGCGAGCGUUAUCCGGAUUUAUUGGGUUUAAAGGGAGCGUAGGCCGGGGAUUAAGUGUGUUGUGAAAUGUAGGCGCCCAACGUCUGACUUGCAGCGCAUACUGGUUCCCUUGAGUACGCGCAACGCCGGCGGAAUUCGUCGUGUAGCGGUGAAAUGCUUAGAUAUGACGAAGAACCCCGAUUGCGAAGGCAGCCGGCGGGAGCGCAACUGACGCUGAAGCUCGAAGGUGCGGGUAUCGAACAGGAUUAGAUACCCUGGUAGUCCACGCUGUAAACGAUGGAUACUAGCUGUUUGGUGAUAAGCUGAGUGGCUAAGCGAAAGUGAUAAGUAUCCCACCUGGGGAGUACGCACGCAAGUGUGAAACUCAAAGGAAUUGACGGGGGCCCGCACAAGCGGUGGAGCAUGUGGUUUAAUUCGAUGAUACGCGAGGAACCUUACCAAGGUUUAAAUGGAGACUGACAGGUGUAGAGAUACG
RNAcentral lists this ribosomal RNA (507 nucleotides) under uncultured bacterium. Its description in RNAcentral is "bacterial SSU rRNA". It matches the Rfam family "Bacterial small subunit ribosomal RNA", at positions 501 to 1010 of the family's 1533-position model. The record is from RNAcentral.